This 301-nucleotide ribosomal RNA is filed under the name uncultured bacterium. RNAcentral describes it as "partial 16S ribosomal RNA". It matches the Rfam family "Bacterial small subunit ribosomal RNA", at positions 509 to 807 of the family's 1533-position model. The record is from RNAcentral.
CAGCAGCCACGGGAAUACAGAGGGUGCGAGCGUUAAUCGGAUUUACUGGGCGUAAAGCGUGCGUAGGCGGCUUCUUAAGUCGGAUGUGAAAUCCCUGAGCUUAACUUAGGAAUUGCAUUCGAUACUGGGAAGCUAGAGUAUGGGAGAGGAUGGUAGAAUUCCAGGUGUAGCGGUGAAAUGAGUAGAGAUCUGGAGGAAUACCGAUGGCGAAGGCAGCCAUCUGGCCUAAUACUGACGCUGAGGUACGAAAGCAUGGGGAGCAAACAGGAUUAGAUACCCCGGUAGUCCCUGUCUCUUAUAC